UAGGGAAUCUUCGGCAAUGGGGGGAACCCUGACCGAGCAACGCCGCGUGAGUGAAGAAGGUUUUCGGAUCGUAAAGCUCUGUUGUUAAGGAAGAACGAGUGUGAGAAUGGAAAGUUCAUACUGUGACGGUACUUAACCAGAAAGGGACGGCUAACUACGUGCCAGCAGCCGCGGUAAUACGUAGGUCCCGAGCGUUGUCCGGAUUUAUUGGGCGUAAAGCGAGCGCAGGCGGUUAGAAAAGUCUGAAGUGAAAGGCAGUGGCUCAACCAUUGUAGGCUUCGGAAACUGUUUAACUUGAGUGCAGAAGGGGAGAGUGGAAUUCCAUGUGUAGCGGUGAAAUGCGUAGAUAUAUGGAGGAACACCGGUGGCGAAAGCGGCUCUCUGGUCUGUAACUGACGCUGAGGCUCGAAAGCGUGGGGAGCGAACAGGAUUAGAUACCCUGGUAGUCCACGCCGUAAACGAUGAGUGCUAGGUGUUAGGUCCUUUCCGGGACUUAGUGCCGCAGCUAACGCAUUAAGCACUCCGCCUGGGGAGUACGACCGCAAGGUUG
This 550-nucleotide ribosomal RNA is filed under the name uncultured bacterium. RNAcentral describes it as "bacterial SSU rRNA". It matches the Rfam family "Bacterial small subunit ribosomal RNA", at positions 355 to 896 of the family's 1533-position model. The record is from RNAcentral.